GGAAGACAAAAUCAAAGCUAAUCACAAUCCAUUUUCCACCCCUUUGAUCAAAGCAAGAAUUCCAUUUUUGGUACUUCAUAUUAUUGUUACAGGCCAAUUUUGGGCUGAUUACAAACCUAAACUAACCCACAAAGCCCAAUCACAUUCAGCUAAACCCAAUUACUCAUUUGCCCAUUUUAAACCCCAAAACCCAAAUGGCCUUUUUCAUAACUCAAAACCCAACAAAUUAAAACCUAACCUACCCAACUAACUACCCAAACCCAGAGGUCCAAUUAUAAACCCAAAUUCAUUUUAAAACCAACAGCCCAAUACCCUAACCCUAAGCUAACCACCGAAACCCUAGCCCCUAAAUUCGGCCAACUCCCACUUACCCACUUGCAACC
This 383-nucleotide long non-coding RNA is filed under the name Gossypium barbadense (sea-island cotton). RNAcentral's name for it is "long non-coding RNA (GBAR_LNC010669)". Lineage: Eukaryota; Viridiplantae; Streptophyta; Magnoliopsida; Malvales; Malvaceae. The record is from RNAcentral.